Non-coding RNA from Myodes glareolus (Bank vole), 1355 nucleotides. NCBI's taxonomy places the organism in Eukaryota, Metazoa, Chordata, Mammalia, Rodentia, Cricetidae. The record is from RefSeq and is a predicted model, not a curated record.
GAGCUAGGCGGAAGGAAGUGAUGGGGUCACAGUGUAGGGGAGUCAAGCUCUCAUCUCCCACAGCAGGAAACCAAUGGGCGUCUACAUAGGAAAAAGUGAGAAACCCGAAUAAAUAACAGGAGUUGGACCCAGGAUUAACUACAAAUGGAAAUUUAGAAAAGGGCACCAAAAAGACACUUGAUCCAGCAACGAUGAUGGCCCCUGGCUGAAAAUACCCCGUUUCCCUUAGUCACCCUCUCCAAGCAGUGGAAGCCGGAUAAGCUGAGCUUGAUUCUCACUCCCCCCGCUCCAACCUCAGAGGAAUGAUUGACGGGAGCAGGACUGCUGGUUUCUGCGGCGACACUAAUUGUACCUCCUGUCCACAGCCGUGAUGCUGCACUUUGGAGCAGAAAUCUGAACCGCUCAGCCGGUGGGGGUUCUGCCCACGCCUGCAGCAGCUAAGUCACAGCUACUCACCCUCAACUCCCCUCCUGCUUACCUGCCGCGGGAACCAUCACUCGGGUCCCAGGAGUCUCCUCUCCAGGAAUUUCCUCUCAUCUUCCAAAACUCCCAGGUGACUGGGAAGGAGGCAAUAUUGAACAAGACAGUCACACUGGAAAGAAACUAGGCGGCACCUGGCUAAUUCUGAAAAUGAGCAUUUAACUUGCAGAAACUGCAGCUGGGUCCUAGGAUGGUCAGAACACCCCAUUCAUUCACACACACACCCUCCUGCUGUUGCCUGGAGCCAGCAAUCCCUGGAGGGGAAAGCUCCCACAUCAACCAGCAAUCAGAAAAAUGCUUCCAUAGACAUGCCCGAUGACCAGUCUGUGAGAGGUAAAUUCUUCACUUGAGAGUCCCUCUUCCCUGAUGACUCAAGGUUUGUGUCCAGCAGACCGCUGAAGCUAACAAGGCCAGGCAGCAUGGAGGGAGGGAGUUGAGCUCAAGUAUAGAACUCUCCAAAUACCAAAGAGCCUUAAAAAUCAAAAUAAUGGACAGAAGCAAAAUGAUUCAUUUUUAAAAACAAAGCAAGCAAAACAAAACAAAAGACCCCACAAACAGCCCACGUACAUGAAAACACACACAGAAGAAAUAGAAACGACUAAGCUGACUCCCCCAUAAGCAGCAGGCUUGGGGUCACCCACCACAGAGAGAAGCACACUCUCCUAUGGGAGGAACUUGACAAUGUCUAACAAAACACUCAAUUUCGGAAGUUAAACCAGAAGGCUCUCCCACAGAUGCAUAGCAGCAAAUGCACGAGGCUGCUCACCUCAGUGCUGCUGUCGGGCAAAACACUGGACAUGGGCUGAAGAGAUGGUUCAGAGGCAAAGAGCACUGGCUGCUCUUCCAGAGGAUCCGGGCUUAAUACCCAGCACCUA